AACGAACGCUUUCUUCCUGCCUAACACAUGCAAGUCGAACGAGACCUUCGGGUCUAGUGGCGCACGGGUGCGUAACGCGUGGGAACCUGCCCUUAGGUUCGGAAUAACUCCCCGAAAGGGGUGCUAAUACCGGAUAAUGUCUUCGGACCAAAGAUUUAUCGCCUUUGGAUGGGCCCGCGUUGGAUUAGCUAGUUGGUAGGGUAAAAGCCUACCAAGGCGACGAUCCAUAGCUGGUCUGAGAGGAUGAUCAGCCACACUGGGACUGAGACACGGCCCAGACUCCUACGGGAGGCAGCAGUGGGGAAUAUUGGACAAUGGGCGAAAGCCUGAUCCAGCAAUGCCGCGUGAGUGAUGAAGGCCUUAGGGUUGUAAAGCUCUUUUACCCGGGAUGAUAAUGACAGUACCGGGAGAAUAAGCUCCGGCUAACUCCGUG
Molecule: ribosomal RNA, 433 nt
Filed under: uncultured bacterium
Lineage: Bacteria
Description: partial 16S ribosomal RNA
Rfam family: Bacterial small subunit ribosomal RNA
Source: RNAcentral